UUGGGAUGGCUCAGUUGGUAGAUCAUGAAACUCUUCAUCUCAGGAUUGUGGGUUCAAGCCCCACAUUGGGCAAAA
This 75-nucleotide transfer RNA is filed under the name Podarcis lilfordi (Lilford's wall lizard). RNAcentral's name for it is "tRNA.Lys". The record is from RNAcentral. Lineage: Eukaryota; Metazoa; Chordata; Lepidosauria; Squamata; Lacertidae.